GUCGAGGGGUAUAUCACUUCGGUGGUAGAGACCGGCGCACGGGUGCGUAACGCGUAUGCAACCUACCUUGAACAGGGGGAUAGCCCAGAGAAAUUUGGAUUAAUACCCCAUGGUAUAUUUGAAUGGCAUCAUUUAAUUAUUAAAGUCACAACGGUUCAAGAUGGGCAUGCGUCCCAUUAGCUAGAUGGUAAGGUAACGGCUUACCAUGGCAACGAUGGGUAGGGGUCCUGAGAGGGAGAUCCCCCACACUGGUACUGAGACACGGACCAGACUCCUACGGGAGGCAGCAGUGAGGAAUAUUGGUCAAUGGGCGCAAGCCUGAACCAGCCAUGCCGCGUGCAGGAUGAAGCAUCUAUGGUGUGUAAACUGCUUUUAUACGGGAAGAAACCCCGCCUCGUGAGGCGGAUUGACGGUACCGUAGGAAUAAGGAUCGGCUAACUCCGUGCCAGCAGCCGCGGUAAUACGGAGGAUCCAAGCGUUAUC
Molecule: ribosomal RNA, 483 nt
Filed under: uncultured Bacteroidota bacterium
Lineage: Bacteria; Pseudomonadati; Bacteroidota
Description: bacterial SSU rRNA
Rfam family: Bacterial small subunit ribosomal RNA
Source: RNAcentral